This 495-nucleotide ribosomal RNA is filed under the name uncultured bacterium. RNAcentral describes it as "bacterial SSU rRNA". It matches the Rfam family "Bacterial small subunit ribosomal RNA", at positions 28 to 480 of the family's 1533-position model. The record is from RNAcentral.
GACGAACGCUGGCGGCGUGCCUAAUACAUGCAAGUCGAACGCACUCUCGUUUAGAUUGAAGGAGCUUGCUCCUGAUUGAUAAACAUUUGAGUGAGUGGCGGACGGGUGAGUAACACGUGGGUAACCUGCCCUAAAGUGGGGGAUAACAUUUGGAAACAGAUGCUAAUACCGCAUAAAACCUAACACCGCAUGGUGUAGGGUUGAAAGAUGGUUUCGGCUAUCACUUUAGGAUGGACCCGCGGUGCAUUAGUUAGUUGGUGAGGUAAAGGCUCACCAAGACCGUGAUGCAUAGCCGACCUGAGAGGGUAAUCGGGCCACACUGGGACUGAGACACGGCCCAGACUCCUACGGGAGGCAGCAGUAGGGAAUCUUCCACAAUGGACGAAAGUCUGAUGGAGCAACGCCGCGUGAGUGAAGAAGGUUUUCGGAAUCGUAAAACUCUGUUGUUGGAGAAGAAUGUAUCUGAUAGUAACUGAUCAGGUAGUGACGGUAUCC